CAAUAGCGUAUAUUAAAGUUGUUGCGGUUAAAAGCUCGUAGUUGGAUUUCUGCCGAGGACGACCGGUCCGCCCUGUGGGUGAGCAUCUGGAUCGGCCUGGGCAUCUUCUUGGGGAACGUAGCUGCACUUGACUGUGUGGUGCGGUAUCCAGGACUUUUACCUUGAAAAAUUAGAGUGUUCAAAGCAGGCGCUUCGCCUGAAUAAUGUUGCAUGGAAUAAUGGAAUAGGACCUCGGUUCUAUUUUGUUGGUUUUCGGAACUUGAGGUAAUGAUUAAGAGGGACAGACGGGGGCAUUCGUAUGAUGGUGUUAGAGGUGAAAUUCUUGGAUCGCCGUCAGACGAACUACUGACG
This 351-nucleotide ribosomal RNA is filed under the name uncultured eukaryote. RNAcentral describes it as "bacterial SSU rRNA". It matches the Rfam family "Eukaryotic small subunit ribosomal RNA", at positions 592 to 947 of the family's 1831-position model. The record is from RNAcentral.